CCUACGGGAGGCUGCAGUGGGGAAUAUUGGACAAUGGGCGAAAGCCUGAUCCAGCCAUGCCGCGUGUGUGAAGAAGGCCUUCGGGUUGUAAAGCACUUUCAGUGGGGAAGAAAGCCUUGGGGCUAAUACCCUCGAGGAAGGACAUCACCCACAGAAGAAGCACCGGCUAACUCCGUGCCAGCAGCCGCGGUAAUACGGAGGGUGCGAGCGGUAAUCGGAAUUACUGGGCGUAAAGCGCGCGUAGGCGGUCUGAUAAGCCGGUUGUGAAAGCCCCGGGCUCAACCUGGGAACGGCAUCCGGAACUGUCAGGCUAGAGUGCAGGAGAGGAAGGUAGAAUUCCCGGUGGAGCGGUGAAAUGCGUAGAGAUCGGGAGGAAUACCAGUGGCGAAGGCGGCCUUCUGGACUGACACUGACGCUGAGGUGCGAAAGCGUGGGUAGCAAACAGGAUUAGAUACCCCAGUAGUC
This 465-nucleotide ribosomal RNA is filed under the name Vreelandella stevensii. RNAcentral's name for it is "partial 16S ribosomal RNA". It matches the Rfam family "Bacterial small subunit ribosomal RNA", at positions 338 to 795 of the family's 1533-position model. The record is from RNAcentral. Lineage: Bacteria; Pseudomonadati; Pseudomonadota; Gammaproteobacteria; Oceanospirillales; Halomonadaceae.